AGAGGCUUAGGCUAACUCAGACCCAGGGCCUUCAAAGCCCUAAGUGGAAGUGAAAAUCUUUCAGCCUCUG
This 70-nucleotide transfer RNA is filed under the name Bembrops anatirostris (duckbill flathead). Its description in RNAcentral is "tRNA-Trp". It matches the Rfam family "tRNA". Rfam says of the family: Transfer RNA (tRNA) molecules are approximately 80 nucleotides in length. Their secondary structure includes four short double-helical elements and three loops (D, anti-codon, and T loops). Lineage: Eukaryota; Metazoa; Chordata; Actinopteri; Perciformes. The record is from RNAcentral.